UGAGUAACGCGUGAGGAACCUGCCUUGAAGAGGGGGACAACAGUUGGAAACGACUGCUAAUACCGCAUAACGCAUAGGGGUCGCAUGAUCUUUAUGCCAAAGAUUUAUUGCUUCAAGAUGGCCUCGCGUCUGAUUAGCUAGUUGGCGGGGUAACGGCCCACCAAGGCGACGAUCAGUAGCCGGACUGAGAGGUUGAACGGCCACAUUGGGACUGAGAUACGGCCCAGACUCCUACGGGAGGCAGCAGUGGGGAAUAUUGGGCAAUGGGCGCAAGCCUGACCCAGCAACGCCGCGUGAAGGAAGAAGGCUUUCGGGUUGUAAACUUCUUUUAAGAGGGAAGAGUAGAAGACGGUACCUCUAGAAUAAGCCACGGCUAACUACGUGCCAGCAGCCGCGGUAAUACGUAGGUGGCAAGCGUUGUCCGGAUUUACUGGGUGUAAAGGGCGUGCAGCCGGGUCUGCAAGUCAGAUGUGAAAUCCAUGGGCUCAACCCAUGAACUGCAUUUGAAACUGUAGAUCUUGAGUGUCGGAGGGGCAACCGGAAUUCCUAGUGUAGCGGUGAAAUGCGUAGAUAUUAGGAGGAACACCAGUGGCGAAGGCGGAUUGCUGGACGAUAACUGACGGUGAGGCGCGAAAGUGUGGGG
This 643-nucleotide ribosomal RNA is filed under the name uncultured bacterium. Its description in RNAcentral is "bacterial SSU rRNA". It matches the Rfam family "Bacterial small subunit ribosomal RNA", at positions 107 to 766 of the family's 1533-position model. The record is from RNAcentral.